This is a long non-coding RNA of Penaeus monodon (black tiger shrimp), 955 nucleotides long. RefSeq lists it as uncharacterized. The transcript is spliced from 3 exons. NCBI's taxonomy places the organism in Eukaryota, Metazoa, Arthropoda, Malacostraca, Decapoda, Penaeidae. The record is from RefSeq and is a predicted model, not a curated record.
GUGAACAGUGCUAUGCGGAUUUGCAGUUUGAAAGGCCUAUUAGUGGUAGAACAAGCUAAGAAGCAAAGAACGACUUGGGUGCUUGUAAGCAGACAUCGGGGAUAUCAUGGUGCUUCUCCCUCUUAAGCGAAGACGAGUAGUUGUGUUUGCCUGACGAAUAUUAUAUGUUAUAUGAUAGAAACAUCUGGAUGAAAUCGUCAGUCACCUUUCAAAAGCAUCGAUGUUCUAGAGAUGUUCUAGAGAUGUUCUAGAGGACAUGCUCAUCACGUGAAACCUGCCGGAUGUUACGUCAUCGCAGACAUUGGCGGUGAUGAACCCAUGUUAAGACUGGCUAAAGCUUUAGAUCGUCAUAAAUUCGAGUCUCUCAAUUGGUGCAUGCCCCCGCGAUGACGUCACGGGCGAGCUCCUGAUUGGCUGUCGUAGCUGGUGACGUGUACCUCGUGCGGAGCGCUGGUUGGUGGAGAGCCAGUUGCCAGAAUCAGCUAGAACGGAGAAGUGCUCACAUGGCGGACCCCGGGAAUGGAAGCCCCACUCGGCUCCAGUCUGAGGGCUUCCCAUCAGCUGUUCGCUAGGGUGGAGCAGCGAUGGCGGGGCCACCAGCUAUCGUCGUACUCUGCGAGCUGUGUUUAAGGUGGUGACUCCAUGAGACUUAUUCCUGAUCACCCAAGAGCCCAGUAUGUCUCUGGGUGUAGACAGUGCUGUUUGCUGGACGAAUUGGGCCUUAUGGAGUGAGGCCAUAAGGAUCAGUGAAAGUUGAACCGGCGACACCUUGACAUCAUCAGCUGCUGCCGGCCGGCUUGUCUCUCAAGGUGAGUGUGACGAACUUGAGGUAGAUGGCGGUGUGUGUGCGGGCGGGUGAGUCAUUCGGAGGACGACAUUUCGCCGUCCCCUGCCUGGUGGACGGCUCAAUCCACGCCUUCUCGCCUUCUCUCACUCCUGUGUGGGACGAAGAAGA